This 250-nucleotide unclassified non-coding RNA is filed under the name plant metagenome. RNAcentral describes it as "partial contains small subunit ribosomal RNA, internal transcribed spacer 1, and 5.8S ribosomal RNA". The record is from RNAcentral.
GUAGGUGAACCUGCGGAAGGAUCAUUAAUACGUACUUUCACGUAUCACCCAAAUUGUGGUUUCUGUUUUCCCUUGUGAUGGAGUUGGAGGUGAUUGUUUUUGGUGUUAUUGAGAGAAUUUGCAUGGCAAAUUUAUUUGUUUUUCUCAAGAGACCCAAUCACUAAGAGUCAACUCUCUUUUUGUAGUCGAUAAUUGGAUCCAGCCUUGUAACCCAAGGUUGUCGUGCGGUUCGAAAGACUAUUGUAGCUUU